RNAcentral lists this small RNA (128 nucleotides) under Serratia marcescens. RNAcentral's name for it is "RtT sRNA". It matches the Rfam family "RtT RNA". Rfam says of the family: This family represents a bacterial cis-regulatory element known as RtT RNA. The exact function of RtT is unknown although it is thought that it may be involved in changing the cellular response in relation to amino acid starvation. The record is from RNAcentral. Lineage: Bacteria; Pseudomonadati; Pseudomonadota; Gammaproteobacteria; Enterobacterales; Yersiniaceae.
UUCGCCCGUAGUUUAUGAGGAUGAGUACCUCCGCAGGAGGUUCGAGCCUCGCGAAGCGAGACAACGUUGCUUUAGCAACGGCCGCAGGGGCGCGCAUCAAAAGAUGCGCGUAAUCUCGCCGACCACCA